UUCCUACGGGAGGCAGCAGUGGGGAAUCCUACGGGAGGCAGCAGUGGGGAAUAUUGCGCAAUGGGGGAAACCCUGACGCAGCAACGCCGCGUGAGCGAUGAAGGUCUUCGGAUUGUAAAGCUCUGUCUUUAGGGACGAUAAUGACGGUACCUAAGGAGGAAGCCACGGCUAACUACGUGCCAGCAGCCGCGGUAAUAGUCCGUGCCAGCAGCCGCGGUAAUA
Molecule: ribosomal RNA, 222 nt
Filed under: Clostridium thermopalmarium
Lineage: Bacteria; Bacillati; Bacillota; Clostridia; Eubacteriales; Clostridiaceae
Description: partial 16S ribosomal RNA
Rfam family: Bacterial small subunit ribosomal RNA
Source: RNAcentral